AGAUGAAGAAACAGAAGACACCAGUUCGUUCGAGGGUUAAAAGAUUUGCUUUUGACUGAAGAAAAGAAACAGGUCCAUUAGUUUUAGGGAUAUCUCGUUGGAUUUCUGUGUCGACACAACUCCUACAGUUCAAGAUAACUUAAAUUGACUUGUCUGUACUCCCAACAUGUGAGGAGAUCUUUUGGUGCUUGUAUAGUUCAAAAUAUUAGUAUCCCGUUUUGUUACCUUGAUAUGCUGAAA
This 240-nucleotide unclassified non-coding RNA is filed under the name Hevea brasiliensis (rubber tree). Lineage: Eukaryota; Viridiplantae; Streptophyta; Magnoliopsida; Malpighiales; Euphorbiaceae. The record is from RNAcentral.